AUAUUUCAGAACUGAGUCUAGUUCCUUCGAUAUCAGUGUAAUCUAAUAAUCAUGAAAUUUGCUGUACUCAUGAUUAUUAGAUUACACUGAUAUCGAAGGAACUAGACUCAGUUCUGAAAUAU
Paramuricea clavata is the source of this 122-nucleotide non-coding RNA. Lineage: Eukaryota; Metazoa; Cnidaria; Anthozoa; Malacalcyonacea; Plexauridae. The record is from the annotation of a GenBank genome assembly.